UGGCUUUGAAGGAUGGCACUGGCCAUGU
RNAcentral lists this non-coding RNA (28 nucleotides) under Rattus norvegicus (Norway rat). Lineage: Eukaryota; Metazoa; Chordata; Mammalia; Rodentia; Muridae. The record is from RNAcentral.